CCUKCYCCGCGACMUUGCGAGAAGUCCAYUGGAACCUUAUCAUUUAGAGGAAGGAGAAGUCGUAACAAGGUUUCCGUAGGUGAACCUGCGGAAGGAUCAUUGUCGAAACCUGCAAAGCAGAAUGACCCGCGAACAAGUUUUUACACAAACUCGGCAAUGUGCGGGCCUUGUCCCAAAACAUUGUCGAACAUAACUAUUCAUCGAGCGCGGUAUGCGCCAAGGAAAAUAUAAAGAACAUAACCAACCCUGUUGUGACAUCGGAAACGGUGCUCGCCUCGGGGAUGYGUUUGUUCUCUAAGUCAAAAMGACUCUCGGCAACGGAUAUCUCGGCUCUCGCAUCGAUGAAGAACGUAGCGAAAUGCGAUACGUGGUGUGAAUUGCAGAAUUCCGUGAAUCAUYGAGUUUUUGAACGCAAGUUGCGCCCGAASCCAUUUGGCCGAGGGCACGCCUGCCUGGGCGUCACGCAUCGUUGCCCCCUCCUCAAGCUCAUUGCUCACAAAAUGGACGAUGAUCUUGUUGGGCGGAGGCGGACAUUGGCUUCCCGUUUGCUUGUCUUCCGGUUGGCCUAAAUWUGAAUUCYUUAGCUACGAUCGUCGUGGCGCAUGGUGGUAUUCGCACGAAUCUUAACCUGCCACGCACGUUUGUCARCUUAACGAACGUACAAACCCAARUGUGUUAACCGCUCUUAGAACGGCACUUACAACGCGACCCCAGGUCAGGCGGGAUUACCCGCUGAAUUUAAGCAUAUCMAUAAGCGGAGAAAAAACUU
Molecule: ribosomal RNA, 769 nt
Filed under: Pilea holstii
Lineage: Eukaryota; Viridiplantae; Streptophyta; Magnoliopsida; Rosales; Urticaceae
Description: eukaryotic LSU rRNA
Rfam family: 5.8S ribosomal RNA (bases 307-462)
Source: RNAcentral